GGGGAUGCUAGGUUUCGACAGGUUAAAAUUUGAAAGUUGGCAAGUCGAGUUGUUGAAUCUCGUAAAACUUCAACAAAGAUUUAAGUGCAAAUCUAUACAACAAAGCAAAGAGUGCAGUAGCUAACGCUUUUGCACCUCAAUUUGCUGCUGCUGUUGCCUAAAGGCGACAGCCCGUUGAUUUGAUUGAUUCUCAAUAGAUCAAAAUCAGCGUCGUUUAUUGAGAUGCGGAAAUUAGUUUUCUCUGAGCUAAUUUUCUAAGUGCACCUCAGGGAAACAGUCAAUUGUAUUUUGCUUAUUUUCCAACAAUUGACUGAAAUAAAAAAUAAGCUAAACUUGUAGAUGAUUUUUGAAAUUUAAUUCUGGACAUGGGUUCAAAUCCCAUCAUCUCCACCA
Molecule: transfer-messenger RNA, 393 nt
Filed under: Candidatus Moraniibacteriota bacterium
Lineage: Bacteria; Candidatus Moraniibacteriota
Also listed under: 1 other name
Rfam family: transfer-messenger RNA
About the family: Bacterial tmRNA, also known as 10Sa RNA or SsrA, is named for its dual tRNA and mRNA-like properties. Its role is to liberate the mRNA from a stalled ribosome. To accomplish this part of the tmRNA is used as a reading frame that ends in a translation stop signal.
Source: RNAcentral